Molecule: long non-coding RNA, 1349 nt
Organism: Aedes albopictus (Asian tiger mosquito)
Lineage: Eukaryota; Metazoa; Arthropoda; Insecta; Diptera; Culicidae
Exons: 3
Source: RefSeq, a predicted model, not a curated record
CAUAACGAAAGAUGCAGCAGUGUACCGGUAAUUGAACCCAGACACCUUCAACUUGGCUUCGCUGUGCAGCCGCGGAUGAAUUCGCCAGGCUAUGCUUGGUCCCUUAGCAGACGCACAAUGCUACAAGAAACCAAAUUCUCUGGAAAAGUCCAACAACUCUUACCUUUCAUUUUUAUGAAUGGAGUGAUUGUCGUAAAGGACCUACUUCCACUACAAGUUGCACAGCGUAUAACGACAUGCCUUCCCGAAAGCGAGCAACCGUUAAGGGUCGCUUCAACUGCUUGGGUUCGAAGUAUGCGUGAUUUAAGUUAUCAGUUGUAGGAACAGCCCCUUCUUACUCCUCGUGUGGCCGUUUCUAUUUUGCUUCCUUGUGACUACAUUCCGAGAUAUAGACAAUCAGUGUGAUUAUAUAUAGAUAAAUGAGGCAUUUUAUCUCCCCGGGUUUCACCUUAACAAACAGAUAAAGAUGGUGUCCGCCACGAUUUAGUUACUUCUUCCUUUUUUGCCUGUACCGGUGAAAUUCAUUUUCAAUUUCAGCAGAUAUGGCCAGUCGUAGAACGGAACGGGGCGCGAUUAGAAGUUACUCAACGGGCGCUGGCAGUGAAACUACUUUUAAACUGUGGCUAUUUGCAGGCUGACUCACCUUUUAUUCAGGUGUGUCGAAUGUGAUUGAUUUGAUCAAAAACAAAGUUUUAAAAAUCUGACUUACCUUGAGUGUUUUGCGCGGCGUACACUGCUUUUGGAUAGAUCACGUGUGCAACUGUACCGAAAUUGUGUUUGAGUGGUUCAGUGAAUUUGGGAAUAACAAUGUAAUCCACACCAAACUCAUCAAUUACAGCUGGGAUUAAAAAAUUCCAAGUUUAAUCCAAUUCAGAAAAGUACAGUGAAAUAUGAUAAGUUUUCUUCACAAAUAUAAAAAAUCCACCCCACCUCGGGGCUUGAUAAAACGCGGAACAACGAAAAGUAAAAAUUCAAGUACGUGUGUUAUCUAUAUCACGCCCAAUCUCCAACUGUUGUGAUAGCGUUACGUGGCUGUGAGCUGAUAAAAAAGGAGUUUACCUUGUUACUCAAACAUCGUCUCACUCAUACCAACCCGGAUAGGUGGUCGGUGGUUCCACUGGAAAACGCCGGAUACACUCAUAAACAUAAUGGGGACCCACCACAUCUCGCCCAGUGAAAUUGUGACAGAGCAGCUUUCGUAAUUCCAACGAGAUUCUAUGGCGCUUAGCUGGACAUGGAAACCACGGUUGGGCGAGUGAUGCUGUGCUUGCAGUCGAGCCCAUCCGAGGACUGAUGGCUCUGAUCGUUCUCAUCCGAGACGGAGGGGCUUCUACUGUGGUUGUGCAGUU